This is a long non-coding RNA of Stegostoma tigrinum, 2383 nucleotides long. RefSeq lists it as uncharacterized. The transcript is spliced from 3 exons. Lineage: Eukaryota; Metazoa; Chordata; Chondrichthyes; Orectolobiformes; Stegostomatidae. The record is from RefSeq and is a predicted model, not a curated record.
UUCUGCUGUGUACCUUGGAGAUAGUACAUACUGCUUCUACUGAGUGUUAGUGGUGGAGGGGGUGGAUUUUUGUUCAAAACGGAACAACACACAGUUUAACUGCACCAAUCAGAUCACGGCUGACGUGAUUGUGGUCUGAGCUUCACUUUCUUGCCUCCCAGAAGCCUUCACUUCUUUGUCUAUCAAAAAUGUUGCAGAAUUAGGAUAAUUUAAACAUACAGCCCUCUUGCAAGGGAUCGUGGAAGACUUCUAAAUGUUCGGACAGGAUUUCUCAAAUUUAUCAGGACCAGCAUAUCAUUGGACUUUAACAUGGAGAGAAAAAUGACUGGAAAAGCACUGAGACGUAGACGAUGAGAGCCGGUUAAUUGGUUCAAGCCUUGUCCACACACAGAACCAGCUUCUCCCAACUGUGAACAGUGCUUUGUGCUUCCAUGUUCAGUGUUCGAUGACAUUCAGCUUGUGAUAUGUUUGGCAACUCUCUCAGGUCCUGAUGUAAUGUUUGAGUUCAGUUUCUUAACUGCAAAACCUCCUCUUCUUAAAAACUCUGUGAAACUCAUUUAGACAGACUGAAAUCAAACUCAAAACCUUAGGCUAUGAAAUGUGAACUGGAUGAAGCUUGUAAUUUUAGAGUAGAAUUUAACAAUAGUGUAAUAGAAACAAUUUCUGACCAUUACUGAUUCUGUGGAAAGAUAAAAUUUUGAAGUCCGCAGCACACUGUCAUGGACUAGGCAGUGGUGAAAACCUAAUUUAGACACAAUUAGCAGAAAUGACAGUAAAAUUCAAAACUGUGCUAAAAUACAAGCAUUAUCAAGGGCAGAGGAAGUCAGACAGUGGUACAGAGGAGAUCUGGAAGGGCAGACAUGAAAUAGAGCAAUGGAUGAACAUAGAUUCAGAUCCAGUGUAAAGGAGCCACACUAGCUCCAGACUGUGCAAUCUCUCACUGAUAACAGAACACAGCACUAAAAGCUCGAACUUGCUCCUGAGUAAUCAAAAAGGCUCAGCUCAGCUCUGAAAGAGUUUCACUACUCUCAAUAUUAGCGUCUCUUACUGGAGCUUGCACAUGGAAAAAUAUUAGAAGCAUUGGAAAUCGAGGAUCCCAUUCGACACAUUACCCUGUACCCCAUGGUUUUUUAAACUUUUGACCAGUCUGUCACGUGGGACCUUGUCAAAUGCAUUAAUAAAAUCCAUGUAGACCACAUCCACUUCACUACCACACUGAUCCUCCUUGUCAAUUGCUCCUGAACUUAAUCAAAUUUGAUACGACUUCCCUUGACGAAGCAAUGCCGACUAUCCCCGACUAGUCCAUGAAUUUUUUAAAUGACAGUUUAUCUGAUUUCUCAGGAUUAAUUCUUAAAAUUUGCCCAUCACCAAAGUUGAGAGGCCUAUAGUUGUUUGGCAUUUCCUUGGUACUCUUUUGAAAUAAUGAAACCACAUUUGGAUUUCUCCAGCCCUCCAGCACCUCACCUAAGCCUAGAGUGACAGAGUUGAGUAGCAUGGAAACAGACGCUUCAAUCCAAUUUGUCAAUGAUGACUAGGUAUUCUAAACUAAACUCAUCCCAUUUGCCAGCAAUUGGCCUCCAAGACCUGUAUAUUCAUACACCCAUUCACAUGCCUUUUAAAUGUUGUUACUGUACCAGACUCCACCACUUACUCUGGCAGUUCAUUCCAUAUACACACAACCAUCUAUGUGAAAACAUUGCCCUUCAGUUCUCUUUUAAACCAUUACCCCCUCAUCUUAACCCUAUGCCCUCUAGUUUUGGACUCUGCUACCCUGGGGUAAAGACCUUGGCUAUUCACCUGAUUCAUGCCACUCAUGAUUUUACAAACUUUCAUGAGGUCAUCCCUCAACCUCCGAUGCUGUAGGAAAAAUAGCCCCAGCUGAUUCAGCCUCUCCCUCUAGCUCAAAUCUUCCAACCCUGGAAGCAUCUUUGUGAAUCUUUUCUGAACCCUUUCAGGUCUUACAACAUCUUUCCUAUAGCAGGGAGACCAGAACUGAAGGCAAUAUUCCAAAAAUGGCCUAACCAAUAUCCUGUACAGCCACAACAUGUCCUCCCAACUAAUAUACUCAAUGCACUGACCAAUAAAGGCAAGCAUACCAUAUGCCUUCGUCACUACCCUGUAAACCUGGAUUCUACUUAGAAGGAACUAUGAAUCAGGACUCCAAGUUCUCCUUUUUAGCAAUACUCCCCAGGACAAUUAACGUUAAUUGUAUAAUUCUGACCCUGAUUUUCUUUGUCAAAAUGCAGCAUCUUAACAUUUUAUCUAAAUUGAACUCCAUUUGCUACUCCCAGGUUCACCUUCCCAUCUAAUAAAGGUCCUAUUGUACUGUGACUUAACCUUCUUCUCUGUCGACUACGUGACCAAUUUUGGUGUCGUCUGCAAG